AGAGUUUGAUCCUGGCUCAGAACGAACGCUGGCGGCGUGCCUAACACAUGCAAGUCGAACGAGAAAGCUCCCUUCGGGGGGUUAGUAAAGUGGCGCAAGGGUGAGUAACACGUGAAUAAUCUGCCCUCGAAAUUGGGAUAACUCGGCGAAAGUUGAGCUAAUACCGGAUAAGACCACGCUUCUCAAGAAGCGCGGCCAAAGGGGUCUCAAUCCCCGUUUGAGGAUGAGUUCGCGGACCAUUAGCUUGUUGGUGAGAUAAAAGCUCACCAAGGCUACGAUGGUUAGCCGGCCUGAGAGGGUGAUCGGCCACACUGGAACUGAGACACGGUCCAGACUCCUACGGGAGGCAGCAGUGGGGAAUAUUGCGCAAUGGGCGAAAGCCUGACGCAGCAACGCCGCGUGAGGGAUGAAGGUUUUAGGAUCGUAAACCUCUGUCGGAUGGGAAGAAUUAUGACGUACCAUCAGAGAAGCCCCGCUAACU
RNAcentral lists this ribosomal RNA (481 nucleotides) under uncultured bacterium. RNAcentral describes it as "bacterial SSU rRNA". It matches the Rfam family "Bacterial small subunit ribosomal RNA", at positions 8 to 502 of the family's 1533-position model. The record is from RNAcentral.